Long non-coding RNA from Esox lucius (northern pike), 2908 nucleotides. The record is from Ensembl. Lineage: Eukaryota; Metazoa; Chordata; Actinopteri; Esociformes; Esocidae.
GGAGGUAAUUUUUUUAAUCAUCAGCUUUGUAGAGGAAUCAUACAAAGACAUCAAAGAAUGCAAUUACACAUAGCCAGCCAGUGAGAGAGGGCAAUGGAACACAACAGGGGUGCGUUCAGUUCGAUUAAAAGUUUGCUAAGUUGCGGCACGGUUUGCACUGAACUGAACAAUUCCACAAAACAUCAGUGAACAGACUAAAUAGUAUGUUUGAUCCAUUUGGUGUGUGUGGCAGAGUUGAAUGACCUAAUUAAAGGUGAAGGGACAUUUUGGUAGCUUCCUUAAAUCACAACCCAUACACCUUAUUUUUCAUCUAGUCGUUCAGUACAGCACCAUUUUGUUUAUGUUAACAUUCCGUAAGUUAAAUUGAACGCUGCCCAGAAGCAUCUAUGGCUUACAACCCAGAUGGAAAGAUGGAAAGAGGUCCUUCAACCAUGUCUUAGAACCAGACAGAGAUGGGUGAGAUAGGGCACUGAUGAUGUCAUACAGGUAAUCAAGUAUUGGUUGGAAGCUGAGGUUCUAAAGGUUCCACUUGGUUUCUGUAGUUUUGAUUCGCUAGUUUUCAGUCAGAACAAUUUCAGAGAUCAUUUACAGACUAUACCACUACUAUAUUUCUGUAAGUGCGAUCUUUGUAGACAUCAUUGUCCAAUCCCUCUUUGUCAGAUUCUAGUUACAUUGGAGUUUAUAAAGUUGAAAAACAAGAAGAAGUUAAGAUAAGGGAUUUAUGGUAGAGGUACAAUAACAACAUCAUAUAACAAAACAUUUGGAAAGUUUACCUGGAGCUGGAUGAGUGGAGUUACAUAGUUCAUUAUCUGCCAUUUUAAGAAGCGUAGUGUAUUCAUUCUGUAAGUUACUAAAUGUUUUGUUAAACAGAGUUUCUAUUGGGCAAAUUCAUGAAACUCCUUGAUAUGUUCCACAAAAUGUUUCGCAAUUACAAAUAUUUUGACUGGCAGAAUAAAUGGUAGACAGCUAACUGUUACGCCAUGGAUGUAGGCGUGUCCUGUUUGUUCAGCUCCACAGUCUAACCCAAACCUGCAGGCAAACAAGCCCUGUCAUUGGCCUAGGAUGGCGUCACUCAGUUCAAGAGGUGCCAAUGAGGUUUCGGUGCUACUUGACGCAGGAGGAAUUUGAAACGGACAGAAAAAGGAGUGACGGCGGCGACAGGACAGGAGAUGGUCGGAGUGUUGACAGUCACACAGGCACUUGAUAAAUGACAGAGCACCACCACAACUCGUAUUAAGGCACGACAGACUACACACAACGGACACAAACGUCGAUGGAGGAUGACACCACAAAGCCCUGAUGUGGACUUUGAGCCGAAAUGAUAGCCCAGCCCUGCAGCGAAUCAACAAUGACUUCCUCUUCAACACACUGCACGCAGCUACCACAGAUGACUGAGACCCAGAGUGAGCUGUGGCAAAAUGAAGUGAAAUGCAUAAUAUCUGAAACAUUGAAACAACGACAAUCACAGAAAUCACAUAACGUGGUGAAAACACAUUCAAAUGCUUCCCUUCUUUAUAACUAUCGAGGGUAACUUGAUGCUUAAAAUCCAACAGAACAGGAUUCAGAGUUCUAGUUACAUUAAUUCCAUGUUUUUUCCGACUUAUAAUUUUGUUACUAUUGUGUUUUUAUGCAAUUACUCACAUUUACCUGGUUACAGAUUUAUAGAGGAAAUCAGUCAGCACCCACAAUCCGCAGAGAUGAUUAACACACACACACACACACACACUUAUGUACACACACAAUAGUUGUGACUAUUCCUAAACAGUCAACAUAGAUUUGUGAACACACUGGCAAUUUCUGGAAUUACAAUGGCUAUCAGGGAAGCGACUGUUUCUGCUAUCGGUAUUAUUCUAACGUUGUUGUACUAAGAGUCAAUUGCAGGCUUAUUUUGGUUUCAUUUUGCUGCCGAUUCUCUCUUUCACUCAUUCACUGCCCCUGUCUGAAAUCACCACUCUGAAGUUUGAAAGACACAAAUCCCGGCAGAACAGACAACAUUAGCGACAGUUGGUCCGCCUGUUGGGAAACGGGGUGCGUGGCGCGGGGGGGAGGCCCCUUCAGGGGGGGACUGGUCUGAUGAUGUAGCAGUAGUGAGUGAUAGGGCUGAACAGUCCGAAAGCCUGUGGUAUUGAGUGGCUCCAUCUUACACGGCACCUUGGCUUGUUCCCUAUAUGGUCCAUGACUUUCAACUAAAUCCCUAGUCAGUCAGAAGUCUCAUUUUUACAAUGGCAUUUUAUUGAUUUGGCAGACUCUCUAAUCCAGAGUGACAUCCUAUUAGUGCAUUCAUCUUAAAAUAGCCAAGCAGGACAACCACAUAUCUCAGUCACAGUCAAAUGUAUCCUGAAUAUGGUAGUAGUAUAUUUAAGCAAAAAGGCCAGAGGGGGUGUGGUAUAUUGCCAGUAUAGCACAGCUAAGAACUGUUCAUGGGCACGAUACAUUGCGGAGUGCCUGGACGCAGCACUUAGCCGUGGAAUAUUGGCAACAUAUCACAACCCCCCCCCGAGCCUUGUGGCUUUUAUAAACGGGUUACAAACACAAUUGGAGAAAAAAGUGAUGUCAUGUCAUACCCUUGGUAUAGGGUCUCAUACACCACAGCUAUCAGCCAAUCAGCAUUCGGGAUUUGACCACCCGGUUUAUAACAGUAAUUCUAUCAAAUCAAAAGAGCUAUCAGCAACUGUCUAGUUGGUGUGGUCAAAAUAAGUGUACUGUAGAGGAAAGAGAGCUACUAAAUAUGAUCAAAAGAAGUGUACUGUAGAGGGAACAGGGCUACUAAGUGUGAUCAAAAGAAGUGUACUGUAGAGGGAACAGGGCUGCUAAGUGUGAUCAAAAGAAGUGUACUGUAGAGGGAACAGGGCUACUAAGUGUGAUCAAAAGAAGUGUACUGUAGAGGGAACAGGGCUACUAAGUGUGA